Molecule: ribosomal RNA, 253 nt
Filed under: uncultured bacterium
Lineage: Bacteria
Description: partial 16S ribosomal RNA
Rfam family: Bacterial small subunit ribosomal RNA
Source: RNAcentral
UACAGAGGUCCCAAGCGUUGUUCGGAUUCACUGGGCGUAAAGGGUGCGUAGGCGGCUUGAUAAGUCGGGGGUGAAAGCCUGUGGCUCAACCACAGAAUUGCCUUCGAUACUGUCGAGCUUGAGACCGGAAGAGGUAAGUGGAACUGCGAGUGUAGAGGUGAAAUUCGUAGAUAUUCGCAAGAACACCAGUGGCGAAGGCGGCUUACUGGUCCGGUUCUGACGCUGAGGCGCGAAAGCGUGGGGAGCAAACAGG